This 568-nucleotide long non-coding RNA is filed under the name Mytilus galloprovincialis (Mediterranean mussel). Lineage: Eukaryota; Metazoa; Mollusca; Bivalvia; Mytilida; Mytilidae. The record is from RNAcentral.
ACUAAAAAUACAGUCCUAGGUAAUCAAAUAAUCAUGAAAUAUUUGGCUUAAUAAUCAAAUAAUCAUUAAAAAAACGGCCAAGUAAUCACAUAAUCAAAAACCCCAUGAGGGCCCUCACAGAUGAAGUGUUUACUGAAAAAGCAAAAUGUACUGAAACGUCGUCAUGCGACGUCAUCAAAACGUCAUCUUUUUAAAAUUAGCAAAUACAAUAUGUUUCAAGUAUUCAUUUCUUAAAAAAAGAAGAGUAAGCAUGGACAGAUAUCCAAUUGUUCAAAAUAUUUGAAAAAAAUAAACAAAAGCUCUGUUAUUCGACUUUUGACGAUGCGAAUUUAAGCAUGGAUGCAAUUUGGGUACUCCUCAUUACAGAAUCAUUGAUGGUUUGGAGGUUAGUUCAGACUAAUUUUUCUAUGAUUCCAUAUGAAUUGAAAAUCAAAUUGGUGUACCUAUAUAGUAAAGAAGGAUACGGCUACAAAAUAAACACAAAAUGGAAACUUUUGUCUUAAUCAUUAAAAAAAUGUAGUUGAAAAAACUGUCAAAAUAGGUGCAAUUUGGGUACCGUCACGUUAUA